Molecule: transfer RNA, 75 nt
Filed under: candidate division WWE3 bacterium
Lineage: Bacteria; candidate division WWE3
Description: tRNA-Thr
Rfam family: tRNA
About the family: Transfer RNA (tRNA) molecules are approximately 80 nucleotides in length. Their secondary structure includes four short double-helical elements and three loops (D, anti-codon, and T loops).
Source: RNAcentral
GCCGACAUAGCUCAACGGUAGAGCAACGGUAUCGUAAACCGUAGGUUGCCGGUUCAAGUCCGGCUGUCGGCUCCA